Molecule: long non-coding RNA, 880 nt
Organism: Magnolia sinica
Lineage: Eukaryota; Viridiplantae; Streptophyta; Magnoliopsida; Magnoliales; Magnoliaceae
Exons: 3
Source: RefSeq, a predicted model, not a curated record
UAUUCUCUUACCUUUCAACAAAAUGAUGGAAAGAAGCGGGAGACUAAAGCCUUCUAUUUUAUAUUGUCUAAAGAUGCAUGAGAUGGUAAUUCAUCACAAUUUAUCUGGAUCUGUGUUCCUUUUCAACUUAUUUUUCUCCAUGCAAACGUGUUACAGAUGAAUGAGGCGGAUGUUUAUUUAUCGUAUCUCCCUCUAGCACAUAUCUUUGAUCGCGUGCUCGAGGAGUUGUUUAUUUCUUAUGGUGCCUCAAUAGGAUUUUGGCGUGGGGAUGUCAAACUGUUGAUUGAAGACAUUGGGGAGCUAAAACCAACUAUAUUUUGUGUUGUUCCACGUGUGCUGGAUAGGAUCUAUACUGGUAUAUUUUGGAAAACCAUUGUCAUUGGGAGUUCCUACACUUGCAUGUGAUAGUAUUUCUGUGAAUGCUUACAUCUUUUCCCAUUGGUCACGGAAACAAUAUAUUCCAUAACGGUAAGAUUGUUACCAUUAUAAUCCGCACCGUAACGGCUGUUACAGUUUAUUUUUAUUUGUAGAAAAAAUUUGUUCAGCCCUGUUGCGGGACUUUUUUUUUUUGGUAACAGCUGUUACACUCGUUUUGGCCCUGUAACACGUAACAGUUACGUAACUGUUUUGGCAUACCUUGCAUGGGAGCUUAUUGAGGGAACUUGGAGUGAGGAGAGUGAACACUAGUGAUCCUUGGCAUGAUAUGUUCUUAGGUGUUGUACAUUUAUUUUCAAGUCUGACAGAGAAGAUAUCUUCGGGAAGUUUCUUAAAGCAGGCAUUGUUUAACAUUGCAUACAUAUACAAACAAUAUUUCAUGCAGAAUGGAUUAAAACAUCAAGAUGCAGCACCGAUUUUUGACAAAGUAGUUUUCAACAAGUUA